AUCCAGAUGACGAGUGCCAAAUAGGACGAAAUGCGCAUCCUGGAU
RNAcentral lists this non-coding RNA (45 nucleotides) under Trichobilharzia regenti. Lineage: Eukaryota; Metazoa; Platyhelminthes; Trematoda; Strigeidida; Schistosomatidae. The record is from RNAcentral.